This 441-nucleotide ribosomal RNA is filed under the name uncultured bacterium. RNAcentral's name for it is "partial 16S ribosomal RNA". It matches the Rfam family "Bacterial small subunit ribosomal RNA", at positions 338 to 795 of the family's 1533-position model. The record is from RNAcentral.
CCUACGGGAGGCAGCAGUGGGGAAUAUUGCACAAUGGGGGGAACCCUGAUGCAGCGACGCCGCGUGGGUGAAGGAGUAUUUCGGUAUGUAAAGCCCUAUCAGCAGGGAAGAACAAUGACGGUACUUGACUAAGAAGCAUUGGCUAAAUACGUGCAAGCAGCCGCGGUAAUACGUAGGGUGCAAGCGUUAUCCGGAUUUACGGGGUGUAAAGUGAGCGCAGGUGGCGCGUUAAGCCUGGUGUGAAAGCCCGCGGCGCAACCGCGGGACUGCAUUGGGAACUGGCGCGCUGGAGUGCCGGAGGGGUGUGUGGAAUUCCUAGUGUAGCGGUGAAAUGCGUAGAUAUUAGGAGGAACACCAGUGGCGAAGGCGACCUACUGGACGGUGACUGACGCUGAGGCUCGAAAGCGUGGGGAGCAAACAGGAUUAGAUACCCCGGUAGUC